This 849-nucleotide unclassified non-coding RNA is filed under the name Hevea brasiliensis (rubber tree). Lineage: Eukaryota; Viridiplantae; Streptophyta; Magnoliopsida; Malpighiales; Euphorbiaceae. The record is from RNAcentral.
GGACAUUGUUAUUCCUUUUCCUAGUUGGCUUUAUUUCUUUGUAAGUGCCUAUAUAAAGGCCUAAACGUUCAUAAUUUCAAUUGUUAGAUGUUGAAUAUUUUCUUUUAAUAAAACUUCGCUUUAUAAUAUUUUCACUUGUCAACUUUUUACCGCAAUGGUGUGUAUCCUUGACUCAUCUCCAUUAGGAGUGGCGUCUACCUUAGGUUGGUUCUUCUUUGUGGUGCUUGCUUAUCAAAGAUCAAUCAAUUCCGAACCUUAUUUUUGUUACUUUGCGGUGUUCAACCUAUCAAAGAGACAAUUGCAAGUUCUUUCUACUUCCUAGCUUUCUUGUGUUUUGUGUUAUUGUUCUAAAUUUAUAAAAUCCAAUAAGAAGAAUCAUUAUUGGCGUGUUUCAAUUGUCAUUCAAGUUCUUUCAUGUUUUAAGUUUCAUUUGGUUUGUCUCCAUGUUCUUUAGCGUGUUCUAUGUUCCAUUCAUAUAGCUUGUUUUGUUCUUGUUCAAUUCUUAUUUUAAGUGCAUGUUUAAUUGUAGUUUCAUUUAUUCCUUUGAGUUUGAGGCUACCAAAAUGAUCUUUCAUCCUUAGUGUCUUUUAGGCACACCAAAAAUAAACUCAUGUUUCCAUUGCUUCUCUAAAUUCAGUAUAUUGUACGUCCAUAUGUUUUCAUUUGAUCUAUAGAUCCCCGCAUCAAUUGCAUUUUUCUCAUAGCCUGCUUGAAUAAAAUUUUGAGUUUGAUAUUCUCAGCAAACAAGAAAGAAAAACUAACAUUUUCCUUUAUCAAUCAAAUAAUCUACCCACAAUUUCUUUAUUGAACUAAUGAAAACAUAGAAAUUCUUGUAAACUUAUUUUUUCA